Long non-coding RNA from Oncorhynchus tshawytscha (Chinook salmon), 1135 nucleotides. The record is from Ensembl. NCBI's taxonomy places the organism in Eukaryota, Metazoa, Chordata, Actinopteri, Salmoniformes, Salmonidae.
GACAGAUAGUAUGCUGAGUAAAGCGGCCACUAUGGAGAUCCCUAUCAACCGUAACGGAGACACGAGGACGCUGGCGGAGGAUGACAGCCUUGAACAAGUUGCUAAGCUACAGUGGAGCUUAGAUGAGAAGGGGCACACGUGCUCCUUGUAAAAAAACAAAACAAGAAGAAAACAAAAAAGACCCACUUUAUUACAGAAUCCUGUGAAAACAAAUCGUAUUUUAGGCUAAAAGAGGGCGACGCCAUAGAGAAUGAUAGAGCACUCUUCUUUGUAUCCGUCCCAUUAUGGUGUCUGUUAGAGCACAGGCAGGGCCAUUUGAGGUCAACUCCAUUUUGAAGUAGUCACUUUUUGUUCUUCUACUAUUUCUAUGAGUUGGUAAACAAACUGAAAAUGUGCGUACUGCCCCCUGGAGGGUGUUGUCUGAACAGGUAUAAAGGAUGGUGAUUUACUGCCCCCUGGAGGGUGUUGUCUGAACAGGUAUAAAGGAUGGUGAUUUACUGCCCCCUGGAGGGUGUUGUCUGAACAGGUAUAAAGGAUGGUGAUUUACUGCCCCCUGGAGGGUGUUGUCUGAACAGGUAUAAAGGAUGGUGAUUUUCAGCCCCCUGGAGUUAUGGAAUGUUUCCUCACGAGUAUAAUUCAUUGGCUGAUCCUUCCUGGUGUGACCUGGAUGGAAUCAUGUGAUCCUUCCUUAACCCAUAGGAAGUCCCACCCAGUUGACUACUUCAAAAUGGUGUAAGUCCUCAACAGCGCUGCCCCAUGCUCGAACUUCCUUUAGGGUAAUAGAGUCCUGAAUUUGUCUUUAUGGGCAAACACAUGUUGGUUUGAGAGACGUUCUUCUGCCCCAGUGGUUCUAAACUAACUACAACUCAUAGACCUUGUUCAACAGGUUUUAUUCUGAACAUGAAAUCCUUUUUUUUUUUGAAGUGCUGGGUAGUGCCGUUGUUCCAAUGGGUUUACUGCUUCGUGUGUGUGUGUGUGUGUGUGUGCUUGUUAAUACCAGGGGUUUCCUACCAGUAGCUCGCAGGCGACCUUAUGAGAAAUCUGAAAGUACAUCUUCCACUGCAAACGGUCAUGAACAAAUCUCACAAGUAUCAGACACCACAAGCUACUAUCUAAUGUUUUAUUUUAUUUUUUU